This 407-nucleotide ribosomal RNA is filed under the name uncultured bacterium. RNAcentral's name for it is "partial 16S ribosomal RNA". It matches the Rfam family "Bacterial small subunit ribosomal RNA", at positions 28 to 526 of the family's 1533-position model. The record is from RNAcentral.
GACGAACGCUGGCGGCGUGCCUAAUACAUGCAAGUAGAACGCAGUUGCGAACGGGUGAGUAACGCGUAGGUAACUGCCUGGUAGCGGGGGAUAACUAUUGGAAACGAUAGCUAAUACCGCAUACUACCAGAUGGACCUGCGUUGUAUUAGCUAGUUGGUGGGGUAACGGCUCACCAAGGCAACGAUACCUAGCCGACCUGUGAGGGUGGACGGGCACACUGGGUCUGGGACACGGCCCAGGAUCCGACGGGAGGCAGCAGUAGGGAAUCUUCGGCAAUGGGGGGAACCCUGGCCGAGCAACGCCGCGUGAGUGAAGAAGGUUUUCGGAUCGUAAAGCUCUGUUGUUAAGGGAGCGGUACUUAACCAGAAAGGGACGGCUAACUACGUGCCAGCAGCCGCGGUAAUAC